This 331-nucleotide ribosomal RNA is filed under the name uncultured bacterium. RNAcentral describes it as "bacterial SSU rRNA". It matches the Rfam family "Bacterial small subunit ribosomal RNA", at positions 8 to 334 of the family's 1533-position model. The record is from RNAcentral.
AGGGUUUGAUUAUGGCUCAGGAUGAACGCUAGCGACAGGCUUAACACAUGCAAGUCGAGGGGCAGCGGGGAGUAGCAAUACUUCGCCGGCGACCGGCGCACGGGUGAGUAACACGUGUGCAACCAACCCCGUACCGGGAGAUAACCCGCGGAAACGUGGACUAACAUCCCAUGAUACUCGAGAGCCGCAUGGCUCUCGAUUUAAAAUUCCGGUGGUACGGGACGGGCACGCGCGACAUUAGGUAGUUGGCGGGGUAAUGGCCCACCAAGCCGACGAUGUCUAGGGGUUCUGAGAGGAAGGUCCCCCACACUGGAACUGAGACACGGUCCAG